AUUGAGAUAAAUAUAGAUUAAUAUAUAAAUAUACAAACGUUAAAUGUAAUAUCAAACUAAUAAACCAAUUAACUCCGUAAAUCAACAAAAGGAGGAAGUUCGGUUACUAUAAAAGACAAAAAGCAAGUCAAAGCCAAGUAUAUCUAAAUGCAGACCUAGCAAUUCAGAUCACAAUGAAAUACCAACUUAUCACUUUAGUAGUAUUGAUAGUUUUGGUGGACAUAAUUGUUUGUGCAGGUGGCGGCGGCGGUGGCGGAGGAGGAGGUGGAGGAGGAGGGAUUUGGGGUGGAAGAGGAGGCGAUGGCGGAGGACAGGACACCUUUUUUACCGAUUCAACUUUGGGUUACAGACGAGGAUAUGGAAGACAGUUCCGCGGUGGAAGACAAUAUACAAGCGAUCAGUUUGGAUUUGAAAUCGGUCGAGGUGGACGAGGCGGAGAUGGUGGAAACGGGUGGUAGACAAAAGUUUUGAUCCAAUCGUCAUUAUGUUGUUGAUGAUGGAAACAGUCCCGAAGACACAGCAUAACGAUGAAAAGUACCCGUUUGUACAUACCAAAAUGGUUAUAAAAACAGCAGAAGAACUUUUUGAACUUUUUUUUUAUAGU
Molecule: long non-coding RNA, 604 nt
Organism: Mytilus trossulus (common blue mussel)
Lineage: Eukaryota; Metazoa; Mollusca; Bivalvia; Mytilida; Mytilidae
Exons: 3
Source: RefSeq, a predicted model, not a curated record